RNAcentral lists this ribosomal RNA (253 nucleotides) under uncultured bacterium. RNAcentral describes it as "partial 16S ribosomal RNA". It matches the Rfam family "Bacterial small subunit ribosomal RNA", at positions 524 to 776 of the family's 1533-position model. The record is from RNAcentral.
UACGUAGGCAGCAAGCGUUGUUCGGAAUUACUGGGCGUAAAGAGUGUGUAGGCGGUGCUCUAAGUUCGGUGUGAAAUCUCCCGGCUCAACUGGGAGGGUGCGCCGGAAACUGGGGUGCUGGAGCGCGUGAGAGGAAAGCGGAAUUCCUGGUGUAGCGGUGAAAUGCGUAGAUAUCAGGAGGAACACCGGCGGUGUAGACGGCUCUCUGGACCGUAGCUGACGCUGAGACACGAAAGCGUGGGUAGCAAACAGG